This 464-nucleotide ribosomal RNA is filed under the name uncultured bacterium. Its description in RNAcentral is "bacterial SSU rRNA". It matches the Rfam family "Bacterial small subunit ribosomal RNA", at positions 338 to 795 of the family's 1533-position model. The record is from RNAcentral.
CCUACGGGCUGCAGCAGUGGGGAAUAUUGCACAAUGGGCGCAAGCCUGAUGCAGCCAUGCCGCGUGUAUGAAGAAGGCCUUAGGGUUGUAAAGUACUUUCAGUUGGGAGGAAGGCGUUGAUGCUAAUAUCAUCAGCGAUUGACGUUACCAACAGAAGAAGCACCGGCUAACUCCGUGCCAGCAGCCGCGGUAAUACGGAGGGUGCAAGCGUUAAUCGGAAUUACUGGGCGUAAAGCGCACGCAGGCGGUUGGUUAAGUUAGAUGUGAAAUCCCCGGGCUUAACCUGGGAAUGGCAUCUAAGACUGGUCAGCUAGAGUCUUGUAGAGGGGGGUAGAAUUCCAUGUGUAGCGGUGAAAUGCGUAGAGAUGUGGAGGAAUACCGGUGGCGAAGGCAGCCCCCUGACAAAGACUGACGCUCAGGUGCGAAAGCGUGGGGAGCAAACAGGAUUCGAUACCCCCGUAGUC